GAUGAACGCUAGCGGCAGGCCUAAUACAUGCAAGUCGGACGGGAUAGAGGAGCUUGCUUCUCUUGAGAGUGGCGCACGGGUGCGUAACACGUAUGUAACCUACCUUAGUCAGGGGGAUAGCCUCUCGAAAGAGAGAUUAAGACCGCAUAAUAUCAUUUUGUGGCAUCGCAGGAUGAUCAAAUAUUUAUAGGACUAAGAUGGGCAUGCGCAACAUUAGCUAGUUGGUGUGGUAACGGCAUACCAAGGCUACGAUGUUUAGGGAUCUGAGAGGAUGACCCCCACACUGGUACUGAGACACGGACCAGACUCCUACGGGGAGCAGCAGUAAGGAAUAUUGGUCAAAUGGACGGAAGUCUGAACCAGCCAUGCCGCGUGCAGGAAGAAGGCCUUUCUGGGUUGUAAACUGCUUUUGCCAGGGGAUAAAAUUUCCAUGCGUGGAAAACUGAAAGGUACCUGGUGAAUAAGCCACGGCUAACUACGUGCCAGCAGCCGACGG
Molecule: ribosomal RNA, 496 nt
Filed under: uncultured bacterium
Lineage: Bacteria
Description: bacterial SSU rRNA
Rfam family: Bacterial small subunit ribosomal RNA
Source: RNAcentral